AUAAAACCUCGGUAGGUGAGGUUACUACAGGGAUAAGGGCUGCUGCCGUAAAAGGAUGGAGACAUUCUUAACUGGUGAGCAGGUUUAGCCGAACAAAGAAGGCUUAACUUAAUGCAGCUUCAUGGCCUUGCAGAGCCAAAACUUGAACGGGAAAUGGUGAUU
RNAcentral lists this small RNA (162 nucleotides) under Oxobacter pfennigii. RNAcentral describes it as "Magnesium sequence". It matches the Rfam family "M-box riboswitch aptamer (ykoK leader)". Rfam says of the family: M-box riboswitch, also know as ykoK leader is described as a metaloregulatory RNA that sense divalent metals and function as a genetic control element of genes related to divalent metal transport in bacteria. It was first reported upstream of the B.subtilis ykoK gene and genes with related functions in other bacteria. The record is from Rfam by way of RNAcentral. Lineage: Bacteria; Bacillati; Bacillota; Clostridia; Eubacteriales; Clostridiaceae.